This 506-nucleotide ribosomal RNA is filed under the name uncultured bacterium. RNAcentral describes it as "partial 16S ribosomal RNA". It matches the Rfam family "Bacterial small subunit ribosomal RNA", at positions 29 to 523 of the family's 1533-position model. The record is from RNAcentral.
AGUGAACGCUGGCGGUAGGCCUAACACAUGCAAGUCGAACGGCAGCACAGGAGAGCUUGCUCUCUGGGUGGCGAGUGGCGGACGGGUGAGGAAUACAUCGGAAUCUACUCUGUCGUGGGGGAUAACGUAGGGAAACUUACGCUAAUACCGCAUACGACCUACGGGUGAAAGCAGGGGACCUUCGGGCCUUGCGCGAUUGAAUGAGCCGAUGUCGGAUUAGCUAGUUGGCAGGGUAAAGGCCCACCAAGGCGACGAUCCGUAGCUGGUCUGAGAGGGUGAUCAGCCACACUGGAACUGAGACACGGUCCAGACUCCUACGGGGGGCAGAAGUGGGGAAUAUUGGACAAUGGGCGCAAGCCUGAUCCAGCCAUACCGCGUGGGUGAAGAAGGCCUUCGGGUUGUAAAGCCCUUUUGUUGGGAAAGAAAUCCAGCUGGCUAAUACCCGGUUGGGAUGACGGUACCCAAAGAAUAAGCACCGGCUAACUUCGUGCCAGCCGCCGCGGUAA